Molecule: ribosomal RNA, 654 nt
Filed under: uncultured bacterium
Lineage: Bacteria
Description: SSU rRNA
Rfam family: Bacterial small subunit ribosomal RNA
Source: RNAcentral
UUAGUUGGUGGGGUAAAAGCCUACCAAGGCCACGAUCGGUAGCUGGUCUGAGAGGACGAUCAGCCACACUGGGAUUGAGAACGGCCCAGACUCCUACGGGGGGCAGCAGUGAGGAAUUUUCGGCAAUGGGGGCAACCCUGACCGAGCAACGCCGCGUGCAGGAAGAAGGUUUUCGGAUCGUAAACUGCUUUUCUCUGGGACGAGCAAGGACGGUACCAGAGGAAGAAGCCCCGGCUAACUACGUGCCAGCAGCCGCGGUAAUACGUAGGGGGCGAGCGUUGUCCGGAGUUACUGGGCGUAAAGCGCACGCAGGCGGUCGUGUCAGUUUGGGGUUACAGCUCCCGGCUCAACCGGGAGAGCGCCUCGAAGACGGCAGGACUUGAGGGCCAGAGAGGGACACAGAAUUCCGGGUGGAGUGGUGAAAUGCGUAGAUAUCCGGAGGAAUACCAAAGGCGAAGGCAGUGUCCUGGCUGGCACCUGACGCUGAGGUGCGAAAGCUAGGGGAGCGAACGGGAUUAGAUACCCCGGUAGUCCUAGCCGUAAACGAUGACCACUAGGUGUGCGGGGUAUCGACCCCCUGCGUGCCGGAGCUAACGCACUAAGUGGUCCGCCUGGGGAGUACGGUCGCAAGAUUAAAACUCAAAGGAAUUGACG